UCCCUGGUGGCUCAGAGGUUAAAGCGUCUGCCCGCAAUGCAGGAGACCCAGGUUCGAUCCCUGGGUCGGGAA
This 72-nucleotide transfer RNA is filed under the name Bos taurus (domestic cattle). It matches the Rfam family "tRNA". From Rfam's summary of the family: Transfer RNA (tRNA) molecules are approximately 80 nucleotides in length. Their secondary structure includes four short double-helical elements and three loops (D, anti-codon, and T loops). Lineage: Eukaryota; Metazoa; Chordata; Mammalia; Artiodactyla; Bovidae. The record is from Rfam by way of RNAcentral. RNAcentral also lists the same sequence under 3 other names.